CAUCAUCUCAGGAUCAAGUUUCGUUCAAAAUAACCAACAUUUAAAUAUCCACAAUAUAUCUAUCAUAAAUUAACUAGUAAAUCACAUUUGCCAACAUUGUAACUCUUUUUUUUGUUUUCUUAAGUUACAAGUGAUACACUCAACCAACAUUAUUACUAUAAUAUAACUGAACAAAUAACAAAAUUAACCUCAAAUCCAAAUUCGAAAUCAAACUCAGACUCAACUCGAACCACCACAACCAUCUUCCUAGUCACUGUCACUCGAGCUCGAGCUCGAGCUCUCUCUUUCCUUCUCUUCUUUUUCUUGUGCUCGACCUUCCUCUCCAUCUUGACGGCGGUCUUUUCCACGACGAUUUCCACCACGGCCGCGGCUCAUCUUCUUCUUGAUUUUUUGCAUGAACCCCUUCGGAUGCUGACCGUCGCCGCCGUGCUCCGCCUUGUGCUUACUCUCCUCCUCCUUGCGGCCGACGUGGAGCACGUCCUUCACUUUCUGCUCUAUCUUCUGAAUCAUUCCCGACAUUUUAGUUUCUAUGUUUUUUUUCUUCUCCUUUGAUCCCUUGUCAGAAACUAGAUACUAUUUAUGAAUGCACACAAAUUACAUCACAGCUCAGAAUGAGAGUACAAAGUAAAUAAUUAGAGCCAAUCAGGGAUAAUAUUAUAUUUGCCAUAACAAAGAUAAAUUAUAUUCCCCCCUAAAAAAAAGAUAAAUUAUAUUCAAUAAAUAGAUUUUUUUAUACACAUUAUGAAUUUUUAUUUUUAUUUUGGCUAAACGUGUGUACGUAGUCACCUCAAUAUAAUUAAACAUCA
Molecule: long non-coding RNA, 806 nt
Filed under: Salvia miltiorrhiza (redroot sage)
Lineage: Eukaryota; Viridiplantae; Streptophyta; Magnoliopsida; Lamiales; Lamiaceae
Description: long non-coding RNA (SMIL_LNC011840)
Source: RNAcentral